RNAcentral lists this ribosomal RNA (482 nucleotides) under uncultured bacterium. RNAcentral's name for it is "partial 16S ribosomal RNA". It matches the Rfam family "Bacterial small subunit ribosomal RNA", at positions 30 to 507 of the family's 1533-position model. The record is from RNAcentral.
AUUGAACGCUGGCGGCAUGCCUUACACAUGCAAGUCGAACGGCAGCGCGGGGCAACCUUGCGGCGAGUGGUGAACGGGGGCGUAAUACAUCGGAACGCAUCCAGAUGUGCGGGUUAACGUAGCGUAAGUUACGCUAAUACCGCAUACGAUCUCCGGAAGCAAGCGGGGGACCUCCGGGCCUCUUGCUUUUUUACCCGCCGGUGUCUGAUUAGCUAGUUGGUGGGGUAAAGGCGCACCAAGGCGACGAUCAGUAGCUGGUCUGAGAGGACGACCAGCCACACUGGGACUGAGACACGGCCCAGACUCCUACGGGAGGCAGCAGUGGGGAAUUUUGGACAAUGGGCGCAAGCCUGAUCCAGCAAUGCCGCGUGAGUGAAGAAGGCCUUCGGGUUGUAAAGCUCUUUUGUCAGGGAAGAAACGGCUGAGGAUAAUACCUUCGGGUAAUGACGGUACCUAAAGAAUAAGCACCGGCUAACUACGUG